RNAcentral lists this unclassified non-coding RNA (335 nucleotides) under soil metagenome. Its description in RNAcentral is "partial contains 5.8S ribosomal RNA, internal transcribed spacer 2, and large subunit ribosomal RNA". The stretch from base 1 to 120 matches the Rfam family "5.8S ribosomal RNA", at positions 35 to 154 of the family's 154-position model. The record is from RNAcentral.
GAUGAAGAACGCAGUGAAAUGCGAUAAGUAAUGUGAAUUGCAGAAUUCAGUGAAUCAUCGAAUCUUUGAACGCACCUUGCGCCCUCUGGUAUUCCGGAGGGCAUGCCUGUUUGAGUGUCAUGAACACCUCACCCCCUCGGGUUUCCGAUUGGGUGGAUUUGGGUGCUGCCAGUUACAUGGCUCGCCUUAAACGCAUUAGCGGUUGUUGACGUAAUAAGUUUCGUCUUGUCGACCGCUUCUAAUCUCCUUCGGGAUGUCUUUCGGGACACUUCAUGAUCUGACCUCAAAUCAGGUAGGACUACCCGCUGAACUUAAGCAUAUCAAUAAGCGGAGGA